RNAcentral lists this ribosomal RNA (269 nucleotides) under uncultured bacterium. RNAcentral's name for it is "partial 16S ribosomal RNA". It matches the Rfam family "Bacterial small subunit ribosomal RNA", at positions 89 to 354 of the family's 1533-position model. The record is from RNAcentral.
CGGCGACCGGCGCACGGGUGNGUAACACGUAUGCGACCUGCCCGUAGCAGGGGGAUAAGCGGAAGAAAUUCCGUCUAAUACCGCGUAAUAUCUUUCGGGGGCAUCCCUGAGGGNUUAAAGGAAGCGAUUCCGGCUACGGAUGGGCAUGCGGCGCAUUAGCUAGUCGGCGGGGUAACGGCCCACCGAGGCGACGAUGCGUAGGGGUUCUGAGAGGAAGGUCCCCCACACUGGUACUGAGACACGGACCAGACUCCUACGGGAGGCAGCAG